CUAUACAAUAUUCUCGAUAUCUGUUCUGUAAGCUGCAGAUUACAGUACCGAUAUGGGAUUAUUGUGUAGAGCUGCGUGCAUCCCCGUAGUGCUCCAUAAUGAGAGUGUUUGCGGAUGGCUUCUGUUUUGGUAUAGUUAUGCCAGAACAUAGUUUUAUAUCUGCAGAGGAGUUGGGAACUCCUGGUUAGGAGUCUAGAGUUAGAAUAUUGAAAGGUUACAGCUAGGGUAACUGAGUCACUGACUCAAGUUUACCCUAGCAUGAGCUAGAGUUACAAUAAGAAUUGCCAUCAGACCAGAGGUUUCGGAUUAGUUGCAAAGUAAAGGUGACACCCAUAGAGUGAGAUUAUCUAGUAUUCAGUAUGGAAUUUUGGAUGGUUUUUGCAGUAUGACAAACAUUUUGCUUAGAGCUUAGUGAGAAUAGUAUAUCUUGUGUGUAUUAGUAUGGAAUAAAGUACAACCCCACUACCUAGAGAAGGUCGAAAUUAUGAAUUGAUGAUUUACAGAGCUAUGAUAUGAUAAAAGAGACAUUAAUUUUGACAUGGUUUUGGGCAAGGUGGUAAAUGUAGUACCUUUGUUGCAGCAAGUUAGGGUAUAGUCCUAUCUUUUCAGAAGGGAUUGAAGGUUAUUGCUGAUAAUGAUGACUUAUGGAAUAGUGUCCCAGAUGGGACUGUAGAGUGUGGUAGAGAGUAAUUGGCUCGGGUAUCCUGCAGAGGAUACAAGUUUCAUUAUAGGAAUCAUAUAUAAUCNNNNNNNNNAAGGAUGUAAAUCCUUUGAAUUGGAUGACGGGUUUGGGUGCCCGGAAUCUUAAGUUUUGGCGA
This 818-nucleotide unclassified non-coding RNA is filed under the name Hevea brasiliensis (rubber tree). The record is from RNAcentral. Lineage: Eukaryota; Viridiplantae; Streptophyta; Magnoliopsida; Malpighiales; Euphorbiaceae.